This is a long non-coding RNA of Drosophila yakuba, 5567 nucleotides long. RefSeq lists it as uncharacterized. The transcript has 2 exons. NCBI's taxonomy places the organism in Eukaryota, Metazoa, Arthropoda, Insecta, Diptera, Drosophilidae. The record is from RefSeq and is a predicted model, not a curated record.
AACCAUGAUCGCCAACCGUGUCGCCAAAUGCACAGAAGCAUCCUUUAUCAUGUGCAUCCUAUAUAUUUUCAUUCAGCUUGGUAAGACUGCAACGAUCCCGCAACGAGGGCCCACUAUUUUUCCAGUGCACUGUAACACAUAUAUGAGGUAAAUGAGAUUUAAAUUUUUGUUUUGUCGGAUCAUGUGUUCAUUGCACCCGGCUGAAGUUCGAAUCGCUGCCGGUUCUCAAGUCGAGUUCUGCGCUGCACUUUUGUUUACUCUUGAUUUUGUCGUACUUUUUGAUUAAGUGCAUGGCGCAUAGCCGAUUGUGGAUUGCCGAUUGCCGAGAAUCCGGGUAUCGGGGCUGAACGGGUAUACUACGAGUAUAUGCAAGUGUAUAUGAAGUUCAUUAUCUGACCGAAGAGCCGCGUUGUUUCUUUUUUUUUUUUUGCCUCUUUUUCCCAGCCGAAUCGAGCCAAGAAUGUCGCAUUGAAAGAGGUCAAUCACCAGCGAUUGCGCCUUGGAUGUCACUCGGUGUAAUUGAGCGCAAUUUAUAUCAUUUGCUAACGAUUUUACGAUUUCGGUUAAUUAACUCCCGAAAUGCAGGAAGUCUAGUGAGCAGUUGACACAGCUCGCCAGCCUCCAAAAUGGAACCCUAGUGUUAUACCCGUGCACAAUGAUUAUACAAUGAUUUGUAUUUGUGCAUGACUGGACUGAGUCAGCCGGAGCAUUCGGGCAGAAAAGUAUGGGUUGCAAAUAAAAAGCGCAUAAUAGGCGUUUAAAUGCAAUUUUCUCCGCAAAAUGGUCGGGCGAAAUAUCAAAAAUUCGAAUUAUAUGUUUUGCCGCAUGUUGAUUAGAAUGAAAACUGUCUGUGUGUUUGUGUGUGUCGGUCAGCAGAGGCAGAAGCCGAAGUCGAAGCAAAAACCCCGUCGACAAACCGCACAGAAGUCCUCUCCCUUCUAGCAGAAAUAUUUGGGUAGAAUCUCGCAUCCGAGGAGACGGACAAGUCCAACUCACAGUCGUCAGUUUCGGCACCGUGAAAAAUCGCUUGCUGUUCUUUCUUGGCCCCAUAGACGUCUUAUAAAUCUAAGAAAUAUUAUUACAAUUUAUAUUAAGCUGUAAAUUCUGUUUGUAUUUGGUAACAGUCUGCGUCCUAAAAAAUCAGAUAUUACAAUAACAUAUAUUUGUAGAAUAUUCUUUAGAGACCCCAAGGCAAACAAGCAAUUCCGAUCUAUAAAUGACUUUGAUUUAAUUUCUCUCUCUGUGGGUCUCUGGUUUUUUUUCCAGCGCGAGAUGGAUGGAACUCUGGUCAAUAAUUUUGUGAGGGUGCCGCCAAAAGGGCAGCAGACGCUGCUCUAACUUAGUUUUUUCUUUCAUAUUUGAGCUGGUCUUUGUUUGAAAUAGAUUAUUGGCAAUACAUAUGUAUACAAAUAUUUUGUAUUUCGUCUGGCGACGCGUCGCGAGUUCAAGGAUUUUUAUUGGGUUCAGUGAACCAAAUGUCUUUCCUCCGGCCGGAAAUAUCGAAUUCGCUUUAAUUAUGGCCCCUCGCUUCAACUUCAACUUCAACUUAUUAAUAUAAGUUUGAUGAAAAGUGAAACACAAUGGGCAUACACAGAUGUCAUCAUCAUCGGCUGGAAAGCGCUGAACACUGCCAGUCAGUCAAGCCAGGGAAAUCAAUAUCCGCCUAUCCCUAAGUGUGCGCCCUAAUGACUUGGGGGCGUGGCCAUCGAGGGGCCAAAGGUGAGGAGCUGCCGAAAGGGUAAACGCCGGAUUCGACGGGUAACCCGAGAAGCCGACGAAAGUGAAGAAAGCACGUGCCGCCCCCUAAAAACUGGCAGCUGAUCCCUUCAAAAGAAAAGUAAGGCGCAGUUCUGAUCAGGGAUAUACACGUACAUUCCAUUUUACACACGGCUGAAAGUCAGAUUUACCUUGUAUGUUAUAAAUAGAAUAACUCUUAAUGUUAUUCAAAUGUCUUAAUCAUAAUUUAUCAAUAUUCUCUGUACUUUAAUUCAAAGUGCUCCAUGAUCAAUCGAACGGUUGAGAGGUAACCUGAGUGUCCAAAGGAAAGUGGUGCAAUCGGUAGUUCUAGGCACGUGCCGCCCUCAAAAAAAGGAUUCAUCUGCCUUGAAAAAGGAAAGUGAAUGCAUCGCAUCCCAAUACCUAUCCUAUCCGAUACGAUCCCAUCCGAGUUGAGAUCGAGAUCGUAGGAUUGUGGAAGUCUGAAACUGCGAUUGAUCGUGCGACAUGGGAUGCGGAUGAGGCAGUCAGAAAUUCCUAAGAAAAUGGAGCACACACACAAAAAACGCAGCACGCAAAAAAAGGGUGGAAUACAAUAUAAUAAUAAUAAGGAGCAUAAGGAGCAUAAGGAGCGAGGGAACCGAGAUCUCGUAUUAUUUAAUUUGGAACUGGGCCGCUCUUUUCGCCCUUGUUUUUCUGGCCAGCUAUCAAUGAAUCGAAAUGAAUUGAAAUGAAAUAAAAUGAAAUGAAAUGCGAAUGUCUCGAUCGCGUGCGGCAACAUUUUCACAGAUUUCAGAUUUUGAGUUUCGAGCUUUUUGCCCUGGAUUCUGAUUCUGCGUUUUGAUUUGUGCCUCCUUUUGAUCGUGCCACGUUUUUUUCUCCUUUCGAAGUUUGUGUGUAAUAUCGGGGGUUGUGUCUUCUGUUUAGGCUAUAAAUGGGAUAUUAAUACAUACUUCUGUUUAACCCUUGAGUGCCUAGUGGGUAUUCCAUUCAACUCUUUAUCACCUCACUUAAUGGAUAUAUUAUAUAUGUAUAUAUUAAGUCGACUCAUUAAUAUUUUAAAUAGUUAGUUACAUACCGAGAUUAGUCUCCCAAUGCCGGGAAAAUCGUAUAUAAAACACAGAAGGUCAUACUAACUUUUAGUAUUCAACGAAAGUAGACUUUAAACUAGAGUCAAAAAAUACUACAUAUUAUGAAUUUGAGCAUCGGAAAUAAGAAUUCCAUCUUGGAAUACACAAAACUGUUUUUUCUUUUUUAAGGUCCAAAAUAAAGAAAAACAUAGUAACAUAAUACAUCUUGAACAAAUUUCUAUUAAAAUAUACUACUUAUUCUCAGGAGCAGCUUGGUGGGUUAAUCCCCCAUUUUGUUGGCAAAUAUUUCGACCAAUGCGAUUUUUUCCCCGGUUAGUUGAUGACUAAUACGCAUGCAAGUUCCGCGAAAAUACCGCCCCGCACCCCGCUGCAUUCCACAAAUAGUUGCCUGCCAAAUUGCAACUCAAUUAUAAAUUGCAAAGGAGAAAAUGAAAAAAAAAACGAAGAGCGAAACCGAAACCGAAACCAAAGCCAAGAAAAAACCCAAAACAGUCGCAGUGUAAAAUUGUAGCUUAGGCAGCGGCAAAAACUACUAAUUUAACUGCGAGUUUCGCAUGCUAACUCACACACACAAGCGUAGAAGGAAAAAGAGCUCGAAAACAUCAAUGGAAAUGCCAUGAAAAGGCAGGUUGAGCUCUGGAAAAUCCAUGAAAUGUGCGAGUACGAGGAAAAUCUUCCGCGUUUGUGUAAUGCAGGAAGAUUUUCCAUGAUGUUUGUUUUGUAUUCGCUUUUCAUUUUCCCCGAACUGCUGAAGACAUUUGUAUGCACGCUUGUAAGUUUAGCACUCACUCGAAAAAAAUAUGGUAUACCAUUCAGGCCACUAUAAAAUACCAAUAUUAGGUAAGUAAAUGUAUAAUUUUAAUGCCUUCAAAAUGUUGAGUAUAUAUUUGAAAGAAAUUGAGUGUUAAAAAAAUAUAUAUCUCAAACUAAAAAAUCUGGCCUUGUGGACACUAAAACAAUGAUUGUUCAUAAAGCUUAAAUCCAACGUAUUAUUAAAAUUAUUCUGCAUACCUAAUUUACUUUGGAUUUAUUCUUUUCAGUGCAUAGACAAUUUUCUGGGCAUUUGCAUGUGGCGCCAAAAUAUCUCUCGAUGCACAUUCAAGCAAACUGAUUGUUCGAAUCUGCUGGAAAAGCGCUUCAUUUUCUCCGGAUAGCGAGCGAUAUCGAAGAUCCGAGAUCGAAGAUCGCAGUUCGCAGAUCGAAGAUCCGAGAGCGAAAGCACAGAGCUGGUCGAGAGCUGGUCGAAAGAAAGCAGGCGGUGAACGAAAAUCCGUUUCGGUUUUAAUUUUGGCUCCUGCUGCGGGCUGCUGAUUUUUGGCCCGGUCGUUGAUCUUUGUCCGACUGGACUUUCGUCACCAAGCGUUUUGCAUACGUGAGCGACCACCGCCAAUGACGCGCUGGCCGAGCCCCAAAUCCGCAAAUUAUAAUUACCCAUCGAUUGCCGGGUGGGUGGGUGAGUUUUCCGCCGAUUCUGACGAACUUGGGGCUAAUUGCGGACAGGAUCCUUACUCGGUCACAGCCCACAGAAAUAAAGAUUCCGAUCUCGUCCGCUGGGGAGUGGGGACAACACUAAAGUGUUUGGUAAUAUAUUUAAAUCGUAUAUCUAUAAUAAAAGAAAAGAACGGAUUACACGUUUUAGAAUAUUUAUAAACUGUGAAAGCUUAAAACAAAUUUGGAAAAACAUCUACGGAUUUUUAUAUAUCAUAAACAAUGGGUCGAAGACUAAAAUUUAAGUCUUUAGCAGUUGCAUACGCUAGUUACAAUAUAACUUUACUCUAAUUUUAAUGAUUGCUAGACUUGUUCUCAUAUUUUGCUCUCAAUAGCCCCUAAAAUCUUUAUGUAAUCUGGCAUGUAAAAAUCGUUGCGAACAUGAUGUCCAGAAUUUUCCUCACCAAUAAUUAGCAAGGAAAAUCAUGAUCGCGCUGGGCAAUUCCAGGGGCGAUUGGCAAUGCAAAUCAAUUUUGAGAUCUUUGCAAAUAUGCAGCUUUAAUUAGUUAAUAAGCGGCGCUGGCUCGCAGCUGACACCGUCGCGACAUGGCCAUGGCUUUGGUUGCUUUGCUACCAUGGCAGUGGCUAUGGCUAUGGCUACCCAGGAUUCCUCAGACGACUGCGGCUGAUAAAGCUGGACUGGACUGGACUGGGCCACAAAUGGGCGUCGAGCGCAAUUAGCGCCAUAUAUCAAUUACCGAGCGCUGCUGCACUCCACCCCAAUCCACAUUACGUAUACGCAGACGACGCGCCGCUAAGGUGUUUUCAUUAUAAAUCAUUUAUUCAAAUUGCAUAUUACGCCGACCGACUGGUUGUGGUCAGCACCUCGGCCAAGCUGACCACUGCUCCGAUUGGGUUCCGGCGUCAGGUCUCGUCGCGAACAGCUGAUCGGUGGAUUGGAUCGAAUGGGAUCGGGUGAGUAUAUGGUAUGAUAAACACUUGACGCCUCCGGAGCGGGCAGCUGUCGGGCGCCGAUCACUGCUCACCGAUUACCAAGCAUAAGCAAUAUUCAAAUGGAUGGGAGUUUUCGCAGCAUUCCAGCUCAUACAAGAAAGCUAAUUAAACAUUUAAAUAUUAUUGUCAAAACAAACAGAUAAGUCAGCUGUUUAAAUCUAUCCUGAAACGAUAAUACAUAUGUAUAUUUAUUAUAUUUUUGACUCAGACAGCCGUUGUUAUUAAAAAGACUACAAUCUUUGGGAAAACUCGAUUUACUAUAACUAUUGGGUAAAUUACAUUAAUUAGUUUGUUGUUAUCUUAUUUGGUACACAGCAA